UUUUCUCUGGACUCUAAGCUGCUUGAUGCCACCAGGCCUUGGGAAAAAGCUGGCCUUCUGAUAGGAUUGCUAUUGAGUAACAAAAAUUCUUGGAUUCUGAUAACAUCUUUCAUGCAGAAACUCAAAGCAUCUCCCAAAUUAUAAGCCCAUUCUUUUACUCUGUUCUACACUCUCACACUCUAAGAACAACUCAUUUCAAUCUUGGGACCUUGACCAGAAUUCAGGGAAACUAGCAUGAUCCUUUCAGUCUGACGUUUCAUUCCAUCUACUAUCCAAAGCUGUUUCUACAAGGCAUCACCUACGAGACAAUAAAACAAACCCUCCGAAAACAGGAAAUUUGCCAGAAGCUGACAAGCUGGGAAGAAAUAAAAUCAGGAUUUAAGCCAGAACUUGGCUUCAAGCUGACCUCAUCCCACCUGCAAGUCUUAAUACACUUGGACAUGCCAUGAAAUGGCAAGAAAUAUUAAGAUUUUAGAUAUGUAAAAAUAUUAAAAUUUUGCCUCUUA
Molecule: long non-coding RNA, 506 nt
Organism: Chlorocebus sabaeus (green monkey)
Lineage: Eukaryota; Metazoa; Chordata; Mammalia; Primates; Cercopithecidae
Source: RefSeq, a predicted model, not a curated record